This 468-nucleotide ribosomal RNA is filed under the name uncultured bacterium. Its description in RNAcentral is "partial 16S ribosomal RNA". It matches the Rfam family "Bacterial small subunit ribosomal RNA", at positions 28 to 507 of the family's 1533-position model. The record is from RNAcentral.
GACGAACGCUGGCGGCGUGCUUAACACAUGCAAGUCGAACGGAAAGGCCCUGCUCUUGUUGGGUGCUCGAGUGGCGAACGGGUGAGUAACACGUGAGUAACCUGCCCUUGACUUUGGGAUAACUUCAGGAAACUGGGGCUAAUACCGGAUAGGAGCUCCUGCUGCAUGGUGGGGGAUGGAAAGUUUCGGCGGUUGGGGAUGGACUCGCGGCUUAUCAGCUUGUUGGUGGGGUAGUGGCUUACCAAGGCUUUGACGGGUAGCCGGCCUGAGAGGGUGACCGGCCACAUUAGGACUGCGAUACGGAGCAGACUCCUACGGGAGGCAGCAGUGGGGAAUAUUGCAGAAUGGGCGGAAGCCUGAUGCAGCAACGCCGCGUGCGGGAUGACGGCCUUCGGGUUGUAAACCGCUUUCGCCUGUGACGAAGCGUGAGUGACGGUAAUGGGUAAAGAAGCACCGGCUAACUACGUG